Molecule: ribosomal RNA, 245 nt
Filed under: uncultured bacterium
Lineage: Bacteria
Description: partial 16S ribosomal RNA
Rfam family: Bacterial small subunit ribosomal RNA
Source: RNAcentral
GACAGAGGUGGCAAGCGUUGUUCGGAAUUACUGGGCUUAAAGGGCGCGUAGGCGGCAUGGCAAGUCCGCAGUGGAAUCCUGCAGCCCAACUGCAGAAUUGCUGUGGAAACUGCCGUGCUUGAGUCAGUGAGGGGAGGGCGGAAUUCCCGGUGUAGCAGUGAAAUGCGUAGAUAUCGGGAGGAAGGCCGGUGGCGAAGGCGGCCCUCUGGCGCUUGACUGACGCUGAGGCGCGAAAGCGUGGGGAG